Molecule: ribosomal RNA, 263 nt
Filed under: uncultured bacterium
Lineage: Bacteria
Description: partial 16S ribosomal RNA
Rfam family: Bacterial small subunit ribosomal RNA
Source: RNAcentral
GACCUACGGGGGGCAGCAGUGAGGAAUAUUGGUCAAUGGCCGAGAGGCUGAACCAGCCAAGUCGCGUGAGGGAUGACGGCCCUACGGGUUGUAAACCUCUUUUGUCGGGGAGCAAGACCCGCCUCGUGCAGGCGGAGCGAGAGUACCCGAAGAAAAAGCAUCGGCUAACUCCGUGCCAGCAGCCGCGGUAAUACGGAGGAUGCGAGCGUUAUCCGGAUUUAUUGGGUUUAAAGGGUGCGCAGGCGGGCCGCUAAGCGGGACCU